Molecule: ribosomal RNA, 492 nt
Filed under: uncultured bacterium
Lineage: Bacteria
Description: partial 16S ribosomal RNA
Rfam family: Bacterial small subunit ribosomal RNA
Source: RNAcentral
AGUGAACGCUGGCGGUAGGCCUAACACAUGCAAGUCGAACGGCAGCACAGUAAGAGCUUGCUCUUACGGGUGGCGAGUGGCGGACGGGUGAGGGAUACAUCGGAAUCUACUUUUUCGUGGGGGAUAACGUAGGGAAACUUACGCUAAUACCGCAUACGACCUACGGGUGAAGGCAGGGGAUCUUCGGACCUUGCGCGAUUGAAUGAGCCGAUGUCGGAUUAGCUAGUUGGCGGGGUAAAGGCCCACCACGGCGACGAUCCGUAGCUGGUCUGAGAGGAGGACCACCCACAUUGGAACUGAAAACGGCUCCGGCCCCCGAGGGGGGGAACAAGAGGGGAAUUUUGGCAAUGGGGGGCAGGCUGGAACCGGCAAGCCGGGGGGGGGAAAAAGGGCUUUGGGUUGGAAAGCCCUUUUUUUUGGGAAGAAAAAGCAGCGGGUUAAUCCCCCGGUGUUUUGACGGUACCCAAAGAAAAAGCCCCGGCUAACUUCGUG